RNAcentral lists this transfer RNA (359 nucleotides) under uncultured Microcystis sp. RNAcentral's name for it is "partial 16S-23S ribosomal RNA intergenic spacer". The stretch from base 134 to 207 matches the Rfam family "tRNA". The record is from RNAcentral. Lineage: Bacteria; Bacillati; Cyanobacteriota; Cyanophyceae; Chroococcales; Microcystaceae.
AAAGGGAGACCUAAUUCGGGUAGAAGACGAAAAAAUAGUAGUCGAAACCAAGAAUCAAUCCCAAAAGGUCGGAACGAGGUAUGUGGCUUUCAAACUAGGUUCUGGGUUCACAAAAGACCUGAAUCAGGAACAAGGGCUAUUAGCUCAGGUGGUUAGAGCGCACCCCUGAUAAGGGUGAGGUCCCUGGUUCGAGUCCAGGAUGGCCCACCUGCACAGGUGGCAAAAACAAGAGAAACGAGGAAUCAGCACCUUAUCUUACUCAUAUAGUAAGAGAGAAUGCUGGCUCUGAGUAAAGAGUCCAGAGGAACCUUGAAAACUGCAUAGAGCUAGGUGAAAAAGCCAAAAAAGAAGACCGCAAG